Long non-coding RNA from Drosophila novamexicana, 428 nucleotides. RefSeq lists it as uncharacterized. NCBI's taxonomy places the organism in Eukaryota, Metazoa, Arthropoda, Insecta, Diptera, Drosophilidae. The transcript has 4 exons. The record is from RefSeq and is a predicted model, not a curated record.
UGAAAAUGUAAACAACAAAGAUCGGGCCCCGGUUCCGGACCCAGCGUACCCGCCCUACCAUGAGACGAUCACCUCCACUCGUCUCCCUCAUUUUGGCCACUAGAUGGCCUAUAUUAGCCCGUGUCGGCCAUAAUGCCUACUCUCCCCAACAAUAUUAUUUUAGCCGGACAUGAUUUCUUUCAAUAGCUGUUUAGGAUCUCAUGCAAGCGGAUAAUUCAUUAACUUCACAGGCGACGAAAUACUACAAGGAUAUUGCUAGUCGCCGCAAAAGGAGCGCGCAAGGAGGCACUUUAGAGGCAAUCGUUGCGCCGCUUUAGGAACAAUGGCCCACACAAUUACUUAAAACUGGGUAUGUCACGUAUUAUGUAUUGUAUGUAUUAAAUCGCUUAAUUCUACCUUACCCUACCUAAAGAGCUCUCUGGGGGUGG